This 630-nucleotide ribosomal RNA is filed under the name uncultured bacterium. RNAcentral describes it as "bacterial SSU rRNA". The stretch from base 1 to 540 matches the Rfam family "Bacterial small subunit ribosomal RNA", at positions 338 to 873 of the family's 1533-position model. The record is from RNAcentral.
CCUACGGGAGGCAGCAGUGGGGAAUUUUGGACAAUGGGGGCGAACCCUGAUCCAGCAAUGCCGCGUGAGUGAAGAAGGCCCUCGGGUUGUAAAGCUCUUUUGUCAGGGAAGAAACGGUCUACUCUAAUACAGUGGGCUAAUGACGGUACCUGAAGAAUAAGCACCGGCUAACUACGUGCCAGCAGCCGCGGUAAUACGUAGGGUGCAAGCGUUAAUCGGAAUUACUGGGCGUAAAGCGUGCGCAGGCGGUUUUAUAAGACAGAGGUGAAAUCCCCGGGCUCAACCUGGGAACUGCCUUUGUGACUGUAAGGCUAGAGUGUGUCAGAGGGGGUAGAAUUCCACGUGUAGCAGUGAAAUGCGUAGAUAUGUGGAGGAAUACCGAUGGCGAAGGCAGCCCCCUGGGAUAACACUGACGCUCAUGCACGAAAGCGUGGGGAGCAAACAGGAUUAGAUACCCUGGUAGUCCACGCCCUAAACGAUGUCUACUAGUUGUCGGGACUUAAUUGUCUUGGUAACGCAGCUACGCGUGUAGUAGACGCCGCGGGUAGGUACGGUCGGCGAGAGUAAACUAACGAACGAAGUAGUACGGCGUGAGACGUCGCCGACGGACGACGACGACGGGAGGUUAGG